UGGAAAGUUACCUCUUACCUUCCCCAGU
Molecule: non-coding RNA, 28 nt
Filed under: Rattus norvegicus (Norway rat)
Lineage: Eukaryota; Metazoa; Chordata; Mammalia; Rodentia; Muridae
Source: RNAcentral